This 253-nucleotide ribosomal RNA is filed under the name uncultured bacterium. RNAcentral's name for it is "partial 16S ribosomal RNA". It matches the Rfam family "Bacterial small subunit ribosomal RNA", at positions 524 to 776 of the family's 1533-position model. The record is from RNAcentral.
GACAGAGGUGCCAAGCGUUGUUCGGAAUUACUGGGCGUAAAGCGCGCGCAGGCGGUCUUCCAAGUCAGUGGUGAAAGCCCGGAGCUCAACUCCGGAACUGCCAUUGAAACUGUGAGACUUGAGGAUGAGAGAGGUGAGUGGAAUUCCCAGUGUAGAGGUGAAAUUCGUAGAUAUUGGGAAGAGCACCGGUGGCGAAGGCGGCUCACUGGCUCAUUUCUGACGCUCAGGCGCGACAGCGUGGGGAUCAAACAGG